GCAAAAGACAGAUCUGAAAUCCAAGCGAGUGGUGGACCCUCUGGGGCAGUGUUGAUGCUGCUCUCAUACUUCAAAGAAGAUCAGACAAAAAUGUUUCACAUAGUUGACAAUACAUGCAUUGCAGAUGAGGUUGAGACUGAACACCUGCCACCCACACCAUGCAUUAUUGUAUGUGGAACAAGUCCAAUAUCUGCUGCAGCUUUCAUGGUGGCAGCAGACCAGGAGGUGAUAAUUGACCAUUUGAUGAGCUUCAGUGAUGCACUGGUCAGCUGGGUUCAUCUGUUACUACAGUUUCAACAUGCACUACCCUGUGGAACUCGGGGCUACGCUGGAGUUUCUUCAAAGGUGCAUAUUUAAGAUCAAUCCGGACAAGGGCUCUAAAGUUGAGCGUCUCGAAAAAAAGAAGAGCAAUGUAGUCAACCCAAAAGUGCUGACCCUCAUUAACCACAUUUCUGAGAAUGAAUGGAGUGCUUAAUUGGUCCAAGGAGGGAACCACAGUUGGCCUGUUUAAGCCAAAGUUCAAGAUCCCAGAUG
This is a long non-coding RNA of Triplophysa rosa, 534 nucleotides long. RefSeq lists it as uncharacterized. The record is from RefSeq and is a predicted model, not a curated record. NCBI's taxonomy places the organism in Eukaryota, Metazoa, Chordata, Actinopteri, Cypriniformes, Nemacheilidae. The transcript is spliced from 4 exons.